RNAcentral lists this ribosomal RNA (460 nucleotides) under uncultured bacterium. Its description in RNAcentral is "partial 16S ribosomal RNA". It matches the Rfam family "Bacterial small subunit ribosomal RNA", at positions 338 to 795 of the family's 1533-position model. The record is from RNAcentral.
CCUACGGGGGGCAGCAGUGAGGAAUAUUGGUCAAUGGACGAGAGUCUGAACCAGCCAAGUAGCGUGAAGGAUGACUGCCCUAUGGGUUGUAAACUUCUUUUAUAUGGGAAUAAAAUGUUCCACGUGUGGGAUUUUGUAUGUACCAUAUGAAUAAGGAUCGGCUAACUCCGUGCCAGCAGCCGCGGUAAUACGGAGGAUCCGAGCGUUAUCCGGAUUUAUUGGGUUUAAAGGGAGCGUAGGUGGAUUGUUAAGUCAGUUGUGAAAGUUUGCGGCUCAACCGUAAAAUUGCAGUUGAAACUGGCAGUCUUGAGUACAGUAGAGGUGGGCGGAAUUCGUGGUGUAGCGGUGAAAUGCUUAGAUAUCACGAAGAACUCCGAUUGCGAAGGCAGCUCACUGGACUGCAACUGACGCUGAGGAGCGAAAGCGUGGGUAGCAAACAGGAUUAGAUACCCGUGUAGUC